This 76-nucleotide transfer RNA is filed under the name Escherichia coli. Its description in RNAcentral is "tRNA-Lys". It matches the Rfam family "tRNA". Rfam says of the family: Transfer RNA (tRNA) molecules are approximately 80 nucleotides in length. Their secondary structure includes four short double-helical elements and three loops (D, anti-codon, and T loops). Lineage: Bacteria; Pseudomonadati; Pseudomonadota; Gammaproteobacteria; Enterobacterales; Enterobacteriaceae. The record is from RNAcentral. RNAcentral also lists the same sequence under 3 other names.
GGGUCGUUAGCCCAGUUGGUAGAGCAGUUGACUUUUAAUCAAUUGGUCGCAGGUUCGAAUCCUGCACGACCCACCA